Molecule: long non-coding RNA, 710 nt
Organism: Salvia miltiorrhiza (redroot sage)
Lineage: Eukaryota; Viridiplantae; Streptophyta; Magnoliopsida; Lamiales; Lamiaceae
Exons: 3
Source: RefSeq, a predicted model, not a curated record
UAAAAAAAAAUAGAAUUAACUUUGAAAACCUAAUUUCUAAUUCAUCUCUUCUCUCCCUCUCGGUCUUCUCACUCCCCGCGCCGCACCUCCAUCUCUGCCAUCCCUAGACUCACUCCCAUCUCCCAUCUCCCUCAGUCGGCGUGCCUCACCUCCAUCGCCGGUCGUCUCGUCUGCAAUCUCUCUCUGUUUUUCUCCGCUCGUCGCCCCCUCCGGGGAGGCCCACGCCGCUCGCCUCGAAAUCUCUACAGCAAUAGCCUGCACCGUGCACCGCCUCGCUGUGCAGCCUAUCAGUUUUCGUCGUCCUGCUUCCUCCGGCGACUCUUUAGCAGCUCUGCCGACACCUCCCCAACCCAACGCCUAAUAGCAGGUUCUCGAACAUAGAAUUUGUGGGGGAUAAAAAAGGAGCACUGGUGGCGUGAAACCAUGUUGUUUUUGGAGACGAGCUGAGCUGGUAGCGUGAGAAUAGGAAGAAAUAUUAUACAAGUCUAUACCGAGAGAGAUGGCAGACGAGCUGAGCUGAGGGGAGACGAGCGGCGGAAAACAGAGAGAGAUUGCACACUAGAUCCAUGGAUCUGGACCCGCGGAUCCGUGGAUCUGGAUCCAAAAUUUUCAGAUCCGCGGAUCUGGAUCCGGAUCUGGAUCUGGUAUAUGAAAACGGAUCUGGAUUUGGUAUUGGCCAGACCCGGUCCAGAUCCGGUCCGUUGCCAUCC